Molecule: transfer RNA, 93 nt
Filed under: Microbispora amethystogenes
Lineage: Bacteria; Bacillati; Actinomycetota; Actinomycetes; Streptosporangiales; Streptosporangiaceae
Description: tRNA-Asp
Source: RNAcentral
GGCGCGUUCGGCGAGCGCGGGCCGGUCGCCGUAUCCCGUCAAGGUGCGCUUGACGAUCUCGGCAAGCCGCAGUCCGGGCUCCGCGGCGCUCUC